GGUUUCAGGCGGACGCUCUUCCAAAGAAGGAGGGCUCCUCUCAUGGUCCCGUGACAACAGAGGGUCCGGUCCACUACAUCACAUGGGGCUCUGGUGUUUUCUCGAUGUUGAUUUCAUUUAUCAUCCUUAUUGCAGCUUCGGUUUGAAUCAUAGUAAGGAAGGGGUGAGACGGAGGUGAUUUCUCUCUGCUGUUUUGGGGACCCAGAAGAAAGAACCCAAAUCCCACAUCCCUCCCAACGUUUGC
Molecule: non-coding RNA, 244 nt
Organism: Pogona vitticeps (central bearded dragon)
Lineage: Eukaryota; Metazoa; Chordata; Lepidosauria; Squamata; Agamidae
Source: RefSeq, a predicted model, not a curated record